AUUGCCUGCCCAGUGACUAAAGUUAAACGGCCGCGGUAUUCUGACCGUGGAAAGGUAGCAUAAUCACUUGUUCCUUAAUUAGGGACUGUAUGAACGGCUAAACGAGGGUCCAACUGUCUCUUAUUUUUAAUCAGUGAAAUUGACCUUCCAGUGAAGAGGCUGGGAUAAUUUAAUAAGACGAGAAGACCCUAUGGAGCUUGAAUUAACAAACUUACUUGAAAUUCCACCACACCUAAUGGCACAAAAAUAAUACCCUAAAUUUAAAAUUUUGGUUGGGGUGACCUCGGAGAAUAAAAAAUCCUCCGAAAGAAUUAUAACUUAGACCAACAAGUCAAUGUAACCUUGAUUCCAAUUGACCCAAGAUAUUUGACCAACGGACCAAGUUACCCUAGGGAUAACAGCGCAAUCCUAUUUAAGAGUCCAUAUCGACAAUAGGGUUUACGACCUCGAUGUUGGAUCAGGACAUCCAAAUGGUGCAGAAACUAUUAAUGGUUCGUUUG
RNAcentral lists this ribosomal RNA (500 nucleotides) under Mastomys natalensis (African soft-furred rat). Its description in RNAcentral is "partial 16S ribosomal RNA". It matches the Rfam family "Bacterial large subunit ribosomal RNA", at positions 1854 to 2579 of the family's 2925-position model. The record is from RNAcentral. Lineage: Eukaryota; Metazoa; Chordata; Mammalia; Rodentia; Muridae.